Long non-coding RNA from Melanotaenia boesemani (Boeseman's rainbowfish), 759 nucleotides. RefSeq lists it as uncharacterized. The transcript is spliced from 3 exons. The record is from RefSeq and is a predicted model, not a curated record. NCBI's taxonomy places the organism in Eukaryota, Metazoa, Chordata, Actinopteri, Atheriniformes, Melanotaeniidae.
AGCAGGUUUUAUUAGACAGACUCAGAAGUCUGGUGGGCCUCUCAGGUCCUGGUCUUAAAUGCUUUUACUCCGAUCUCACAGAUCCACAUCAUAAGGUUUGAUCACAGUUCUACUGAUAAUCCAGCUUCACCAUCAGGGUGAGCCGUUCUCCCAGACACUCUGAUAAACUUGAAGUUCUUCACUCUUUAUUUUUGGCUGUUGGUCUUAAAAACCAACAUCAGUGUUUCUACAACAUUUAGAGGAUCUGAACUGGAAGCUUCUGCUUCCAGCUGCAGCUGAACAUCAUCCUGAGCUGCCCAGUCACAGCUUCCUCAGGGUUUCUGAGCAGGUUCCACUCUUUAACUCAGAGCUAAGAGUUUUCUUUACAUUAACAUACGUGUACAUUUACACGUGUGUAGUAAUCCUAACCACCUGAACUGACUCACCUUAUAAUACGUACAGAAGUCAGAUUUAUUAAGUAAGAAAUAUAUAAAAGAUUAAACUAGUUCUCUCCUGCCUUGGAAAUGUUUUAACUCCCCUUGAGGAGCUUUAUGGAUAUAAUGUGACAGGACAGCAGAGGUGAGGACCCAAACGCAGACUGAUGAGGCAGGAGACAAACCAACGCCAUUAUCCAGGAUUUAAUAUCAAGGAACAAGGAAACCGAUACAGACUGAACACGAAACAACAACAAUGAUCUGGCACCGAGUCAGAGAAACCAAGGCGUAAAUAAACAGAGGACGACUAACAGGGAACAGGUGAAGUGAGGGAGCAAUCAGACCA